Molecule: ribosomal RNA, 190 nt
Filed under: uncultured Glomeromycotina
Lineage: Eukaryota; Fungi; Glomeromycota
Description: partial 18S ribosomal RNA
Rfam family: Eukaryotic small subunit ribosomal RNA
Source: RNAcentral
UAGUAUUCAAUUGUCAGAGGUGAAAUUCUUGGAUUUAUUGAAGACUAACUACUGCGAAAGCAUCUGCCAAGGAUGUUUUCAUUAAUCAAGAACGAAAGUUAGGGGAUCGAAGACGAUCAGAUACCGUCGUAGUCUUAACCAUAAACUAUGCCGACUAGGGAUCGGAUGAUGUUAAUUUUUUAAUGACUCA